This 72-nucleotide transfer RNA is filed under the name Melampsora larici-populina 98AG31. Its description in RNAcentral is "tRNA-Ile (AAT) (tRNA-Ile-AAT-7-1)". It matches the Rfam family "tRNA". Rfam says of the family: Transfer RNA (tRNA) molecules are approximately 80 nucleotides in length. The record is from RNAcentral. Lineage: Eukaryota; Fungi; Basidiomycota; Pucciniomycetes; Pucciniales; Melampsoraceae.
GCUCGGUUAGCUUAGUUGGUGAAGCGUGGUACUAAUAAUGCCAAGAUCAUGGGCUGAUCCCCCUACGGAGCA